UUGGAGGGCAAGUCUGGUGCCAGCAGCCGCGGUAAUUCCAGCUCCAAUAGCGUAUAUUAAAGUUGUUGCAGUUAAAAAGCUCGUAGUUGAAUUUCGGGAUCAAUACGUCGGUCGUGCCUUCGGUACGCACUGGCGUCGUUGAUUUCUCCCUUCUGAUGAACCAUGAUGUCAUUAAUUUGGUGUUGUGGGGAGUCAGGACUGUUACUUUGAAAAAAUUAGAGUGUUUAAAGCAGGCAAACGCUUGAAUACAUUAGCAUGGAAUAAUGAAAUAGGACGUUCGAACCUAUUUUGUUGGUUUCUAGGUACAACGUAAUGAUUAAUAGGGAUAGUUGGG
Molecule: unclassified non-coding RNA, 334 nt
Filed under: uncultured Glomerales
Lineage: Eukaryota; Fungi; Glomeromycota; Glomeromycetes; Glomerales; Glomeraceae
Also listed under: 1 other name
Description: SSU rRNA
Rfam family: Eukaryotic small subunit ribosomal RNA
Source: RNAcentral